Paramormyrops kingsleyae is the source of this 753-nucleotide long non-coding RNA. RefSeq lists it as uncharacterized. Lineage: Eukaryota; Metazoa; Chordata; Actinopteri; Osteoglossiformes; Mormyridae. The record is from RefSeq and is a predicted model, not a curated record.
UGUAAGUAGGUAGGACUUCCACCAGAACCACUGGAGAAAUCGGCGUGGAGCUGCACGGGAUUCUGAGGGGCAUGCGGACAUAAAUAAUGCACGUCGCUAAUCUGGGCUUAUCUCAGCCGACAGGACGUGUUGAAAGGCACUACUUUUAAAAAUAAACAGGCAGUGCUUAGCCAAACUCGUUCCCCGGUUACAAAAGCCUUGUUUUUAUUUUGCGCUGUGGCUGCAUUUUGCGUAAACAUAACUAGCAACGGAGACUGGAGGAAUUGCAGCCAGUUACGCAAAUGCCAGAAACACUUUGAGAACAUAAAAGAACAACAACACACUCCGGGCGGCUAUCUGGCGAUUCAUCUUCGGCUUGGGCUUGAACAAUAGUUGAGGCCCGGGGUCUUUUGGCAUGUAGCAACAGUGCCCCCGUGGGUGCGGAAGAGGAACUGCAGCGGGCGCCCGACACAGCAGCAUUUCCAUUACGAACAAAGCCAGACGAUUCACUGCCUUAGCUGUCCAGGCCCGCAGCCCUUUGACCAGGGGACCCGUUUCGUCAGAGAAAUGCCUCCAGAACAGGAAUCCCUUACACUGUAUUGUGUACAGUAUUACUCCCCAGCAGACUGAAUGGAAACUCUGAGGACAAGUGGGGCAUUUGAGUACUACCCACUGCCAGAGUGGGACAAGUGCUUCCUUAGCCAGCCCCAUCACUACCACCACAGUCCACAGACCAGGCAUGCAAUCUAGGCCAAGACUGCUGGGAUUCAAAGG